GUCAAUGGCCAUUACCACGUUGAGCUUCCCCAAUCUCAUCUGAUCCAGGAAGCCAAGCCAUGUUUGAGCCUGGUCAGUACCUGGUUGGGAGCCAGUGAUC
This 100-nucleotide ribosomal RNA is filed under the name Jaculus jaculus (lesser Egyptian jerboa). The record is from RNAcentral. Lineage: Eukaryota; Metazoa; Chordata; Mammalia; Rodentia; Dipodidae.